This 253-nucleotide ribosomal RNA is filed under the name uncultured bacterium. Its description in RNAcentral is "partial 16S ribosomal RNA". It matches the Rfam family "Bacterial small subunit ribosomal RNA", at positions 524 to 776 of the family's 1533-position model. The record is from RNAcentral.
UACAGAGGGUGCGAGCGUUAAUCGGAAUUACUGGGCGUAAAGCGUGCGUAGGCGGCUAUCUAAGUCGGGUGUGAAAGCCCCGGGCUCAACCUGGGAAUUGCAUUCGAGACUGAAUAGCUAGGGUACGGUAGAGGGAAGUGGAAUUUCCGGUGUAGCGGUGAAAUGCGUAGAUAUCGGAAGGAACAUCAGUGGCGAAAGCGACUUCCUGGACCAGUGCCGACGUUCAGGCACGAAAGCGUGGGGAGCAAACAGG